Molecule: ribosomal RNA, 259 nt
Filed under: uncultured bacterium
Lineage: Bacteria
Description: partial 16S ribosomal RNA
Rfam family: Bacterial small subunit ribosomal RNA
Source: RNAcentral
GCAAGUCGAGCGAACGGAUAAGGAGCUUGCUCCUUUGAAGUUAGCGGCGGACGGGUGAGUAACACGUGGGUAACCUACCUAUAAGACUGGAAUAACUUCGGGAAACCGGAGCUAAUCCCGGAUAACAUUUGGAACCGCCUGGUUCUAAAGUAAAAGAUGGUUUUGCUAUCAGUUAUAGAUGAACACGCGCCGUAUUAGCUAGUUGGUAAGGUAACGGCUUACCAAGGCGACGAUACGUAGCCGACCUGAGAGGGUGAUC